UAUGAGUGCAUUCGAUUCAGGCCCGCACUGGCCAUAUGGUGAAUUCGGGGAAUUCCCGAUGGGCCU
Long non-coding RNA from Bradysia coprophila, 66 nucleotides. NCBI's taxonomy places the organism in Eukaryota, Metazoa, Arthropoda, Insecta, Diptera, Sciaridae. The record is from RefSeq and is a predicted model, not a curated record.